GCAGGAGGGAUAAUCGCCUGGUUGGACUAAGAGGUUAGUGUUGGAUUUGUAUUUCAAUCAGUAAAAUAGGAAUUUACAUAAUAGUUAGAAUGAGUGGGUAAAUCCUGCCAUUAGAACAACUAGUGAUGUUGCUGUCAGCAAGCAGAACCGUGUUUACUGAACCCAGGCAGUUCAUAUGAGAAAAUGCUGAUUGUCGAUUUGAGGGAGUUAAUAUGUGAAUUUGCUAUGUUUGCAGUGAUAUUCAGGGAAUCAUGCUUACUGCCCAUGAGACAUUUCAUAUAAGGAAAUGCUGGUUACUGAAAUCCAGGCAAUUAAUAUGUGAAGUUUGAUGCGUUUGCAGGCUGGGGAUUAGGGCUGAGGCACCGAGAAGAACACCCUGCCCAAUCGCGUCAGUGUGUUUGAGAAGGCUAUUCGGAGUUAUGCCGACAAUCCAGCCGAGAAUGUGAUCACACCAGUGCUUGGCACUACUUUCAGACUCUUUAGGUGAGGCUUGUGACUUCUAUAAUUUGUACUCAUGGGCGAAAGGCUUCGGCAUCCGAUAUGAGAAGAGCCGGCUGAAUGUCGAGAGGACGAAUGCAUGCGGGAAAUAGUGUUAAUUCAGUUAAUCUCGGGAAGGGAGUGUGGUGCGGAUGGCUUUAGGGAGGGACAGAUCCCCACAAGUCUCGGAACUCUCCACGGUGAAGAUGAAUCCACAUGCCCCUGGAUGGAACAAGAGGUAAGCCUGAUGCUUGUUAGUUCAUUCCACCGUAGGACAUAGGAGGCGAAUUCAGUAUGGCAGGCAGGUGGAAUGAUUUAGCGUAGUAAUGGAUGUGCAAAAAGAAUUUAGGUAUGGCCAGGUAGGUGUUGAAAAACCAUCAUGUGGAAUGGAAAGGAAGUUUGUGUGGGCUGUAGUAUGGUGAAGCACAUGCCAGUUUCUGGGCUGAAAAAAUUGUACAGAUUUAGAUGCAGGCAAGUUCUGGCAUUCCUGUAGGUAAGAGCCACAAAAUUUUAGUUGCAUUGCUAAGGCAUGUUUUGAUUGAUGUAUUUGCUGUCAAAUUUAGUAUGUUCGGCUGUAAUGAAGCAAAAAAAAAGCGGUUGUUGCAGAUUGAGGACUGGAUGAAGCUGUUGCUGCACCUAGUAGAGCCCCGUGUCCACCGCGCGUCGGUGCUUUCGAGAAGGCAGUGCGCGGUUAUGCUGAGAACCCUAGUGCUGCCGUAUCUUUGAGUAUGAUUCUCUUUGAAUAAUCAUAGAUUUGGUCUAACUGAGGAGUUCCCAGACUACGCACCCCGGUGUAAUGCUUAUAGAUGAUGUCUUUGUUAUACGCAGUGAAUUUAAAUAAAAGUAAUCAUAGGUUUGGUCUAACUGAGGAGUUCCCAGACUACGCACCCGGCAAUAUGUAAUGCUUAUAGAUGGUGUCUUUGUUAUACGCAGUGAAUUUAAAUAAAAGUAUACCAUGUGGAUUGUCAACUACUCCCUUCGUUUCUAAAUAAUUGUCUUUCUAGAGAUUUCAACAAAUGACUACCCGGAGCAAAAUGAGUGAAUCUACACUCUAAAACAUGUCUACAUACAUCCGUAUGUUGUAGUCCAUUUGAGAUGGCUAGAAAGACAAUUAUUUGAAAAC
This 1600-nucleotide long non-coding RNA is filed under the name Triticum aestivum (bread wheat). Its description in RNAcentral is "long non-coding RNA (TAES_LNC016205)". The record is from RNAcentral. Lineage: Eukaryota; Viridiplantae; Streptophyta; Magnoliopsida; Poales; Poaceae.